Molecule: non-coding RNA, 84 nt
Organism: Trametes coccinea BRFM310
Lineage: Eukaryota; Fungi; Basidiomycota; Agaricomycetes; Polyporales; Polyporaceae
Source: the annotation of a GenBank genome assembly
UCUCUGUUAGUAUAUCGGUUAGUACACGCGCCUGUCAUGUCUUACUGGCCGCGCGAAAGCGGGGUUCGACUCCCCGACAGAGAG